GAUGAACGCUGGCGGCGUGCCUAAUACAUGCAAGUCGAGCGAACAGACGAGGAGCUUGCUCCUCUGACGUUAGCGGCGGACGGGUGAGUAACACGUGGAUAACCUACCUAUAAGACUGGGAUAACUUCGGGAAACCGGAGCUAAUACCGGAUAAUAUAUUGAACCGCAUGGUUCAAUAGUGAAAGACGGUUUUGCUGUCACUUAUAGAUGGAUCCGCGCCGCAUUAGCUAGUUGGUAAGGUAACGGCUUACCAAGGCGACGAUGCGUAGCCGACCUGAGAGGGUGAUCGGCCACACUGGAACUGAGACACGGCCCAGACUCCUACGGGAGGCAGCAGUAGGGAAUCUUCCGCAAUGGGCGAAAGCUUGACGGAGCAACGCCGCGUGAGUGAUGAAGGUCUUCGGAUCGUAAAACUCUGUUAUUAGGGAAGAACAAAUGUGUAAGUAACUAUGCACGUCUUGACGGUACCUAAUCAGAAAGCCACGGCUAACUACGG
This 496-nucleotide ribosomal RNA is filed under the name uncultured bacterium. RNAcentral's name for it is "partial 16S ribosomal RNA". It matches the Rfam family "Bacterial small subunit ribosomal RNA", at positions 28 to 506 of the family's 1533-position model. The record is from RNAcentral.